CAGCAACCUCAUCUCAGCUGAUAGAGAGCUAGCUAUCAUAUUUUCAGAGUAGUCAAAAUCAUCUCUCUCAAAGAUCAACUGUAGAGCUCUCAACUUGCUUUUCGGUCUUUCUGAAAUUGCACCUUCGCAGGAGAGAUGAAGCAACUCACUUAAACUUUCUUCCGAGACCCUAACCCUCACUCCUCGGACCUCAGACACAAGCCCU
This 205-nucleotide long non-coding RNA is filed under the name Phoenix dactylifera (date palm). RNAcentral describes it as "long non-coding RNA (PDAC_LNC017321)". Lineage: Eukaryota; Viridiplantae; Streptophyta; Magnoliopsida; Arecales; Arecaceae. The record is from RNAcentral.